GACAGAGGGUGCAAACGUUGUUCGGAAUUACUGGGCGUAAAGCGCGUGUAGGCUGCUUGGCAAGUCGGAUGUGAAGGCCCUGGGCUCAACCCAGGAAGUGCAUUCGAAACUGCCGAGCUGGAGUCCUGGAGAGGAAGGCGGAAUUCUCGGUGUAGAGGUGAAAUUCGUAGAUAUCGAGAGGAACACCGGUGGCGAAGGCGGCCUUCUGGACAGUGACUGACGCUGAGACGCGAAAGCGUGGGGAGCAAACAGG
RNAcentral lists this ribosomal RNA (253 nucleotides) under uncultured bacterium. Its description in RNAcentral is "partial 16S ribosomal RNA". It matches the Rfam family "Bacterial small subunit ribosomal RNA", at positions 524 to 776 of the family's 1533-position model. The record is from RNAcentral.